This 530-nucleotide ribosomal RNA is filed under the name Salmonella enterica. Its description in RNAcentral is "partial 23S ribosomal RNA". It matches the Rfam family "Bacterial large subunit ribosomal RNA", at positions 1 to 561 of the family's 2925-position model. RNAcentral also lists the same sequence under 2 other names. The record is from RNAcentral. Lineage: Bacteria; Pseudomonadati; Pseudomonadota; Gammaproteobacteria; Enterobacterales; Enterobacteriaceae.
GGGUUGUGAGGUUAAGCGACUAAGCGUACACGGUGGAUGCCCUGGCAGUCAGAGGCGAUGAAGGGCGUACUAAUCUGCGAUAAGCGCCGGUAAGGUGAUAUGAACCGUUAUAACCGGCGAUACCCGAAUGGGGAAACCCAGUGUGAUUCGUCACACUAUCAUUAACUGAAUCCAUAGGUUAAUGAGGCGAACCGGGGGAACUGAAACAUCUAAGUACCCCGAGGAAAAGAAAUCAACCGAGAUUCCCCCAGUAGCGGCGAGCGAACGGGGAGGAGCCCAGAGCCUGAAUCAGCAUGUGUGUUAGUGGAAGCGUCUGGAAAGGCGCGCGAUACAGGGUGACAGCCCCGUACACAAAAGCGCAUGUGCUGUGAGCUCGAUGAGUAGGGCGGGACACGUGGUAUCCUGUCUGAAUAUGGGGGGACCAUCCUCCAAGGCUAAAUACUCCUGACUGACCGAUAGUGAACCAGUACCGUGAGGGAAAGGCGAAAAGAACCCCGGCGAGGGGAGUGAAAAAGAACCUGAAACCGUGU